Molecule: ribosomal RNA, 477 nt
Filed under: uncultured bacterium
Lineage: Bacteria
Description: partial 16S ribosomal RNA
Rfam family: Bacterial small subunit ribosomal RNA
Source: RNAcentral
AUUGAACGCUGGCGGCAUGCCUUACACAUGCAAGUCGAACGGUAACAGGGUAAGCUGACGUGUGGCGAACGGGAGAGUAAUGUAUGGGAACGUUCCCAGUCGUGGGGGAUAACUGCGCGAAAGAGCGGCUAAUACCGCAUACUACCACAGGGUGAGAGCGGGGGAUCGCAAGGCCUCGCGGGAUUGGCGCGCCCGAUGUCGGAUUAGGUAGUUGGUGGGGUAAAGGCCCACCAAGCCGACGAUCCGUAGCGGGGCUGAGAGGACGACCAGCCACACUGGGACUGAGACACGGCCCAGACUCCUACGGGAGGCAGCAGUGGGGAAUUUUGGACAAUGGGCGCAAGCCUGAUCCAGCCAUGCCGCGUGCGUGAAGAAGGCCUUCGGGUUGUAAACCGCUUUUGUCAGGGAAGAAAAGGUUCUGGCUAAUACCUGGGGCUCAUGACGGUACCUGAAGAAUAAGCACCGGCUAACUACGUG